GGCUCCAUAGUUCAACUGGAUAGAAUAUCAGGUUUCGACCCUGACGGUUGCAGGUUCGAGCCCUGCUGGAGUCA
This 74-nucleotide transfer RNA is filed under the name Polaribacter sp. RNAcentral describes it as "tRNA-Arg". It matches the Rfam family "tRNA". Rfam says of the family: Transfer RNA (tRNA) molecules are approximately 80 nucleotides in length. Their secondary structure includes four short double-helical elements and three loops (D, anti-codon, and T loops). Lineage: Bacteria; Pseudomonadati; Bacteroidota; Flavobacteriia; Flavobacteriales; Flavobacteriaceae. The record is from RNAcentral. RNAcentral also lists the same sequence under 1 other name.